Molecule: long non-coding RNA, 251 nt
Filed under: Elaeis guineensis (African oil palm)
Lineage: Eukaryota; Viridiplantae; Streptophyta; Magnoliopsida; Arecales; Arecaceae
Description: long non-coding RNA (EGUI_LNC013174)
Source: RNAcentral
CACCGAUCAUCGUCCUCCUUCUUCGAUUGAGCAUGCCAUCAGCCAGAUAGAAGCCCUCCCAGAUCAUCAUCCUCUCUCCAUGCCACCGCAUCGAUCGAAUCAAGGCCAUCAUUGUUGUCCUCUCUCCUUAAUCAAGUGCACCACCGAUCGUUGUCCUUCCUCUCCGAUCAAGCAUGCCAUCGGUUGGAUUGAAGCCCUCCCCAUCGUUAUCCUCCCUCCACGCCACUGCACCAGCCGAAUCAAGGCCACCA